CUCACGUGUAAUAACGCGUGAUACGCUGCUAGGUAACAUUUAUCCUAGAAAAACAAAUGCGCUAGUCAUAAACGCGAUAUGAUAUGAAAAUGUAUGCAUGUAUGCAUGCAUGCGUACGUAGAAACAAGAGUUUGCCGACGUCGGCCAAACAAGAGCGAUAGUUCGACCGAAAUAUGCCGCGACGAUAUCUUUCAAUUCCGCGCGAGAGUUCGUGGCUGUAUGCACAUGCAGCCUGAAGACGCAUCGAGAUAUCUCGUCGGGCUGUUUACACAUGCAUCUGAUCAGAACCGCCAAAGUUUGCCGAACUUGAUCUAGGGGAUGACGAUAUCAGAGAAUACAGCGUGACAUCAAUGAGAGCGUAUCUACUUUUCGACUGGUCGGAAGCGGUCAUGCAUUUUCACCGAUAGGUCAAAGGUGUGACAUGUGCCGAGAGCAAAAACAAAGCGUGCGCACUACACUACACCGAAUACAUACAAAUAAACCGGCGUACGGGCAUGCCGAAUGCAUUUAGGUGUGACAUGUGAAUGCGGAAUGGCGUUGGGACGGUUGCAGGCCCACAACGGGGAUGAUUCUACCAUUCACACACAAUAGAAUAAAUUCCGGCUGAAGUAAUCCUGUCAGCGGCACUGUCACGGAAUCAAUGGACUUACGCACGAGCGCGUCGCACCCGAGAAAUCAGCUAUCACGAUAUAAUCAACGUGCAGUCUCAAUAAUUCGGUCACGCGUCUACCAGAUAAUAAAUCAGAAUCGCGGCGUUUUAUUCGACUUAUCGUGUGCGCCUCUGAAAGAAUUAUGUCGGAGGAACGACUUUGGCGAGUUUAUUCAGGAAGACACGUGGGAUUUCGCGAGGAUUAUCAUGUUAGUUAACAAUUUUUUGCUCGUCUCGUUUUUUGCUCGUAGGUUAACUAAAUAUCUGGUAGAAUAUGAACGAACUAGAAUCCCAAUUAAAGUUACAAAAAUCAAAUCACUAGGUAUCUAGUUAAUCCAACCAUAUUUCUUUUUCCCUGUGAAACAGAGAGAAAAAGCGCGAGCUCUAAUUCCUCACGAAGCCAGGUCAAGGCGAUUUGUCAGCGAGAGACAUGACCUUUUAUCUUGGAAAAGAACGCGAACAGGUGCGUAGGUGCACACUACGUGUAUACCUUGAAGGUGCAUAUCGUGAAGGUGCUUUCUACGAGUUAUAUUGGUUUUAUCGCCAACAGACCAUGCGAAAGUUCGCUUAUUCUUCCACGACGAUGGGCAAUAUAUUAUAGUAGCUAUUUUGCAGAUCGCUCCAUUUUGCAAAUCGAUAAUUCAGUAAUGAAUAUUCAACUCUCACCGCAGCUCGUUUCGCAUCGCCUCGAUUGGAAUAGCCUUUCCCUCGGCUCUACUCCCACGCGUUUUUACCUCGCGGAUUCUGCACGUGACGUGUAGAACGUAUAAGAGAUGACACAUCACUUUUUGUGAAAAUGCCGGCGCCACGUCACAUGAGCCUCAUUAAGCCCAUAUCAUAUUAAUAAUUAUAUUACGAUUAUGCAAAACCAAAGGACGGCUAAGCGAGAAUCGCGGAUCGUGAUCUCUUUUCCAGUUCUUUUCCAAUCGAUCAAGAGAUAAUUGUAAACGCAGACGCAGCCGCCAAUCGCUGCACGAUAAAAGAUAUCUGUGUUGAAAUCGACUCACGUGAAAAGUUUUAUGUUAAUUUAAUGUAUUGAAUGUCGUUGUGUUAUUUUAACUACUAUUAGUUGAGUUUACCGCAUCUAAGUGUUAAAAUGACACAAUUUAUGUGUAAAUAUUGUUACGAGAAAGAAAAAAUUCUUGAUGACAUAUUUUACACGUAAAGUAUAUGGAUUAUUUGUCUACAUACUUGCUUUGUGUCAAAUUAAUGGAAAAAUUAGAGUAGACAAAUUGCGACAUGUGUCCAAAUUUUAGUACAAAACUUUUAACGGUGUAGCGCAAUACGGGCUUUAGUUGACGAACGAAACGCAAAUGCGGAAAUGCUAGGAGGAAAUAGCAAUUGUGAUAGCGAUUAUUUGCUUCUGCGAAAGAUCUUCGGCUGAUUAAUUGGCUGAAGUGAGUCAAGCGAAUGUGUAAUCGGUACCCGCGAUACGGGGCUCCCACCUCGCGCCAGAAUCCACGAGGUUUCAGCGAAUAUGUCGCAAUGAAUAAUCCGAGAACGCGCUUUGGAAAUUUUCGUGACACAAUGCGAACGGAAGGAACGUUAGAUGAAUAUGCAACGACAAAAACUUUUAAUGCCAUAUCUAUUUCACUUGAAAUCACAUAAAUUUUCUCUCUGACUACAGAAUAUAUGGAUAUAGCACUUUUCUCCGUGUACAGAAGUAUCGUUUCUGGAACAGCAAAUUGAAAAUAAUAGAUUUGUUCUUACGAGGUGAUUUGCUGUCUCAUAUCAACAAGCCAUUUAUUACUGGCACUUUGUUAGAUUAGCAAAACUUUUUCUCUCACAGUACUGAAAAUAAACGUCCGAAGAAACUCGUUUGAAACAAUAUUCCAGAGUCUACCACAAUAUAUUCUACAGUGUAUACCGUCAAUAAUAUAUGUUCGUUAAUAAUGCGUCUCGAUCGAGAACGCAUUUGAUGUCAUGAUAUAUUAAAGAAUUAUUCUCGUUUCUUUCUCAUCGAACAAUAAAAUAUUCACAGGCAGACAUGAGGAAAAUUUACGCAAAAGAAAGGAAAAUGAGUCGCGUUGCGACAAUUUUACUUGACGGCUCACCUUUUGCGGUUAAUCUCAAUUUCAAAUAAUCGACGACAGGAGAAGAACGAGGCUGUGAGCUGCCGAUAAGGAUCGCCCUAAUUUAUAAACGCGUCUAGACUCGUCUUUUCUUUCACCGAACUGACGCACGUGCCAUUUUGCUUUCAGAGUGCACAUUUACGUCGACGUCAAUUCGACGAACAAGGAACACCGACAGCGUCCUUAUGCGCGUCACACGCGCACGCGACAAACGCGAUGACGUUUCUUUUGUCAGCAGAAAGAAAGUACGGAUCUGUCGCGUCGCCGGCGUUAUGUCGACUUGGCGAACGUGAGGGCCGAUAUGUAACAGUUGAAAAGCAUGGCAAGUAUUUCGCUCGUUCGACGUUUACGGAAAUGAAUAAUUUAUGAGGUGAGAAUAAGCAUGAAAUAUUUAAGUCCGCGCGUAGUGUAGAAAGAGAAACGCGUCGCGACGAUGGCGGCGACGUACGAAAAAGCAAAGGCGCUUUCCUGCAUCUUCUCUGUCUCUACACGGACACGCUUUCGAGCGAAUUCGAGAAAGCUAUGACGUCCGAUGAUAGGAACGAGCAAUAAGAGAAGCGCGACCGAACGCUACAUUCGAGAUCAAAUUAUUUCACGCGACUGCGCGAAUUUAGAAAAAUUGUGUCACUCUUAUCGGAUCGACGUUAUUUCGCGAUGCAGUUUCCCGCGUUUCAAGAGUCGUCUUUAAUUCAAUUUAUAAAGUUCACUUUGAACAAGUCGCGACAGAAUUUAAAAUAGAAUUCCACGAAAAAACAUUUGAGAAAUCAGAAUUAUACCCAAGGCAAUAUUUAACACACACACACACACACACACACACACACACACACAUUUCUCUCUUUUCAUUUUUACAAAUCUUUAAAUGGUUACUGCGUUUUUAUGUUAUAUAUAUGACGCGAAUAAUUACAAAGAGAAAUCUCUCUCGCAUUUUAGUAUUACGUAUUUUAGUAUUUAUGUUAUAAAUAUAAUAAUAUUAAAAAUAUUUCAAAGCGUGCUUCACGCAAUAUGAGUGAAUAUUCACUUGAUUUUGCGUGAAUUCAUCUCGACAAAGGAUUUUAAAGAAUUUUUGCAGGUAACUAGUUGCGCAUUAAUAUUUUCAGCCUUAGAAGCCACGACAACUGCACAAAGCGAUGGAAAAUUUACUUAGCCUCGAGGUGGCGAUUAAGGAGACCAGCGGCGGAAAGCAUCGGAGUAAUUUCCUCGUCGCCGAGGAGGAUAGCGAUUUCAAGAAAAAAUCAGUUUUCCGUUUAUGCGCGGGAAAAACUGUUAGGGAUGCUACACCCACGUGUUCUAUAAUAUAUAGAGAGAAAAUUUACGUGAUUUCAAGUUAUAUAAAUAUGACAUUAAAGGUCAGCUUUUAGCUUAAUAAGAAUAAUAUUGUUGUAGACAAGAAAGAGACUAGCGACGAGAGACAAACGAAUAUAUAAUCCUCACAUCCAUUCAUAAAUUUGCUCGCAGAUAUUGUUAAAAUGCUGUUGCCGCAAAUUCUACGUCUCACAGACAAUUUUCUCUAUGACAAUCUAUAUCUUUUCUAUACUGAUUUCCAAAUACAAAAAACAGCGAUAAAUCUUAAUUGACAUUUAGAAUUAAAUUGACAUUAGAAUUCUAUAUGGGCCAGCAAAACAUUUCCUUAAGUAUGUGCGUGGGCGAAACAUAACAUUAACAUUAAUAUUUCGUUACGGCAAUCAUAUUUAGGCAAAUAAUAUCCUUAGCAUUUUCUCCAUGUAUUUUUAACUGCACUGCAAUUUCAGACUCGCGAACGUUCAAACAACGUUCUUCAACGAGAAAAUCUGUUUUAGGAAACGGCUACAAAUUUGGUUGGAUUAUUAUUAUCACGUGGCUGUUCCCACGAAUUUAUCUGAUCUCUCGCAUUUUUGUUUCAAUUUUCUCCUGAUGGUAAACAACGCGAAAAGUAUCCGAGUUAAUUGAACACCCACGCGGAGCUACACGUGGCGCGUCGCUGAAUUAAAAAAUGAGGACGAAAAAAACGCGUUCGCCAUUCAGCGCGCCGCUUAGAGAAAGUAAAAUUGCGUAAAAGAAGAAGUAGCCUGGAGAAAGUAAAAUCACGCAGAGAGGUGGGUGACGGAUUUCGCGGAGCGAACAGCGAGUGCAGUGCAUUCGCCGAUUGGAAUGUCAAUAGCCGACAUUUUCGCCAACUAUCCCCUGAGUAGAAACUUAAUUGCCGCGCUCAAGUUUGACGGGCGCCGCUUAACGAUGAAAUCUCGAAGAAACAGGCCGCAUGAUCAAAGCAAAAUAUCAGAGCAACAUUCGCUCACACUGUCAGAUCUCUGCGCGGGACGUAAAAAUUUAUAAGCGCAUUAUUGGAGCACAUCGAAACGCGCAAUAAAUAUUUCGAGCGCGCGGAGAAAUAUUCACGUUCGCGUGCCACCAUCAGUUUGUGCGGUGGAUAAACAAAAAAAUUUUACAAAAUAAUGAUUUUUUUUCAUAAAAAUUCUCUUCGAUUUAUCAUGUCUUUAGUAGUGCAGGAACAGAUCAUCUGCUUUGCUAAUAAUAACAUGAUAAAUUGCGUCAGGAGCAUAUUUUUUAAUAGCAUAUUUCAGAAUUCCUGAGAUAUAAAUAGCACGUGCGCGGAGAAAAUAUUUUAGUGAAAAUUACGUUAAAAUUAUAUCUCUUUUUACAGUGUUUUUUGCAAAACUAGGACACAUACGGAAAUUGUGGUAUAAAUUAUCGUAGAAAUAAUAAAUUUGACAAUCCACCUAGUAUAAGAUAUAAAAAACAACAAGUUAUUACUUAGUUAGUUAAUAAUUUUGUGGUAAAAAGUCAAACGCGCAUAACAUUUUUAAACAAAUAUGUGGUAAAUUUUAUCAUAAUUCUGUGUAUGAUUCAAGAUUACAAAAAUAUCAUGAUUUUUUCUACAAUAUUUUUUCCGUAUAUGAAAAACGAAAGGAUAAUAAAUUACUGCAGAAUGUUUGUCUAUUUCUCGGUUAGAAAAUUUUAUAAUAAUUUUUACUACAAAAUUCUCUCCAUAUAAUGUCUGACUAACAAUGUAAAAUGGAACAAAAUAUAUUUAAACUAAACAUGCGUAUUUUCAGUCUCCUUUG
Long non-coding RNA from Odontomachus brunneus, 5780 nucleotides. RefSeq lists it as uncharacterized. The record is from RefSeq and is a predicted model, not a curated record. The transcript is spliced from 3 exons. NCBI's taxonomy places the organism in Eukaryota, Metazoa, Arthropoda, Insecta, Hymenoptera, Formicidae.